UACAGAGACUGCAAGCGUUAUUCGGAUUCACUGGGCGUAAAGCGUGCGCAGGCGGUUCGUUAAGUCAGCUGUGAAAGCCCCGGGCUUAACCUGGGAAUGGCGGUUGAAACUGGCGAACUUGAAUCUGGCAGAGGGGGGUGGAAUUCCACGUGUAGCAGUGAAAUGCGUAGAGAUGUGGAGGAACACCGAUGGCGAAGGCAGCCCCCUGGGCUGAGAUUGACGCUCAGGCACGAAAGCGUGGGGAGCAAACAGG
RNAcentral lists this ribosomal RNA (253 nucleotides) under uncultured bacterium. Its description in RNAcentral is "partial 16S ribosomal RNA". It matches the Rfam family "Bacterial small subunit ribosomal RNA", at positions 524 to 776 of the family's 1533-position model. The record is from RNAcentral.